Molecule: long non-coding RNA, 476 nt
Filed under: Eucalyptus grandis
Lineage: Eukaryota; Viridiplantae; Streptophyta; Magnoliopsida; Myrtales; Myrtaceae
Description: long non-coding RNA (EGRA_LNC006470)
Source: RNAcentral
CCCCCCCCCCCCCCCCCUCUCUCUCUCUCCUCUCUUCUGUCAUUUGCUGUAAUCUUUUUUAGGUUGGUUGUGUAAACCAUAUUUUGUCCUGCAAACCCUACUAUAUUCUGCAGUCAAUAGACUAAUCAAAUUUUAUGGGAGGAGACAUUCCCUUUUUAUUUGUUUAUGUGAAGCGGAGACUAAGACUAUAAUGAUCCAUAAUCAUGUUGGUAGAUAAAUAGGGCAUUUGCUUUGAGGACAUAAAAAGCAGAAGUUCACGCUUUGUCAAUUGUACGUUGACAAUGGUGGAGCUAAAGAUUCAGAAGUAGAUAUGCUUGUAUUCUUGCGCUGGUGAACUUGAGAAACAAGAGAAGAAACAGCUAGAUCCUUUCCUUUGCUUCUAUCGAUUACCCCCCGCCACCCCCCCACCCCACCCCCGCCCCCCCUCUCUCUCUCUCUCUUUCUAUUUAUAUACAGACGCAACAAUUUUAUUGAUC